GAGGCUGGAGCUCAAUGGUAGAGCACUUGCCUAUCAUGUAUGAAGUCCUGGUUUCAAUCCCCAGCACCACA
This 71-nucleotide transfer RNA is filed under the name Marmota monax (woodchuck). RNAcentral describes it as "tRNA.Asp". The stretch from base 6 to 66 matches the Rfam family "tRNA", at positions 6 to 65 of the family's 71-position model. Rfam says of the family: Transfer RNA (tRNA) molecules are approximately 80 nucleotides in length. Their secondary structure includes four short double-helical elements and three loops (D, anti-codon, and T loops). The record is from RNAcentral. Lineage: Eukaryota; Metazoa; Chordata; Mammalia; Rodentia; Sciuridae.